CUGCUCACAUGGGUCCCAGGAAAAUACAAAAGCACUACUGUUUAACAGGAAAGUUACUAUCCAGAAAUUAACCCACAAAGGUGGGAAGAGUAUUUACCCGCUAAUCUCUUUAUUCCCUCGCCUGACAAAAUAUCUGCAUUCCUGGGCGGCCUCAAGAAAUGAACUACAGACAUCUAUUCCCUUUGUGAUACCUCCUUGGAAUCAAAGUGUGGAGUGUAACAAUGUGCCUCCACACACUCACACUAGUUGAUGCUUCAUCUUGGUGAAAUCAAGUUUUUGGAAUUACCUUUCCUAAGAUCAUUCUAUUCACAGAGAAGGAGCUUAAUCUUUAAAAUGUGUAUGCUGGCCGGGCG
This 353-nucleotide long non-coding RNA is filed under the name Homo sapiens (human). RNAcentral describes it as "HSALNT0191577". The record is from RNAcentral. Lineage: Eukaryota; Metazoa; Chordata; Mammalia; Primates; Hominidae.